CCUACGGGAGGCAGCAGUGAGGAAUAUUGGUCAAUGGGCGCGAGCCUGAACCAGCCAAGUAGCGUGAAGGAUGACGGCCCUAUGGGUUGUAAACUUCUUUUAUAUGGGAAUAAAGUUUGGUAUGCAUACCAUUUUGUAUGUACCAUAUGAAUAAGGAUCGGCUAACUCCGUGCCAGCAGCCGCGGUAAUACGGAGGAUCCGAGCGUUAUCCGGAUUUAUUGGGUUUAAAGGGAGCGUAGGUGGAUUGUUAAGUCAGUUGUGAAAGUUUGCGGCUCAACCGUAAAAUUGCAGUUGAAACUGGCAGUCUUGAGUACAGUAGAGGUGGGCGGAAUUCGUGGUGUAGCGGUGAAAUGCUUAGAUAUCACGAAGAACUCCGAUUGCGAAGGCAGCUCACUGGACUGUUGACUGACACUGAGGCUCGAAA
Molecule: ribosomal RNA, 424 nt
Filed under: uncultured Bacteroides sp.
Lineage: Bacteria; Pseudomonadati; Bacteroidota; Bacteroidia; Bacteroidales; Bacteroidaceae
Description: bacterial SSU rRNA
Rfam family: Bacterial small subunit ribosomal RNA
Source: RNAcentral